UACGUAGGGGGCUAGCGUUAUCCGGAAUUAUUGGGCGUAAAGCGCACGUAGGCGGUUCGUUAAGUCAGUGGUGAAAGCCCUUCGCUUAACGAAGGAACUGCCAUUGAUACUGCAAAUCUUGAGUACAUUUGAUGUGGGCGGAAUGUGUCAUGUAGCGGUGAAAUGCUUAGAUAUGACACAGAACACCGAUUGCGAAGGCAGCUCACAAAACUGUAACUGACGCUGAGGCACGAAAGCGUGGGUAUCAAACAGG
This 253-nucleotide ribosomal RNA is filed under the name uncultured bacterium. RNAcentral's name for it is "partial 16S ribosomal RNA". It matches the Rfam family "Bacterial small subunit ribosomal RNA", at positions 524 to 776 of the family's 1533-position model. The record is from RNAcentral.